CGAGAUGUCAGUCACCCUGCGUAGUGUCACUGAGUGCACCGAUACUGCUGCUGGUGUCGUGGGAGAAACCAGAACCUAGACUUAAAAAACCCAUCAAUUUUGGAAACAAGGAACCAGCCUCAUAGCAAGAGAUUAUGUGGAGCAAGUUGCCUGCAAACUGCUGUAUUUCCCACCACUAGCCAUGUCCAUACUGAAUAAUUUUGCUGUGUGAAGGAGAACUCCAAAGGAUGAAGCUGAGUUGGAGGAUUUACCCGACAGAGGCAAUGGGACUUCAGUGUAAGGACCUAAUCCAGCCCAAGCGGAGACUUGGAGAGGCAGGCUUCCCACUGAAGUUGUGAUCAGAAAUGGAUGCGUCAGCUGUUAUCUGCAAACUUGCAUGCUUGUAAUCACAACUGCUUGUAUGUGCCAGAAGAAAUUGGAAUAUUUACAGCUUUGCAUUGCAGCCGGAAGGAAACAAUUACAAGUGAAAUACAAACAUACAGUCACAUACAUAAAUAUAUGGAAAAGCACAAAUAUGUGCAUAGACAUGCACAUUCACACUGGUCUUUAAAUAGGAUGCCAACAGGAACAAGCAGAACACAUGUUUGCAAGUAGAAAACGUUACCAUAGAGGCAGAAUAUAAAAGCAUGUAGAAGCAGAGGAGAAGGCAGGUGACACAAGCACAGAAGUUGUGGUAGCAGCGGUGGCGUGGUGCAUCUCUUCUGUUUCAGGACUUCCAUGUGAGGACAAUACAUAAAGAUGGCUGCCUAAUGAAACCAAGAACUGGCCUGGAUAAUACGAAACCAACACGUCAGAUGAGAAAAGAAGCUGCCAUCCAACCGAGAGGCUACCAACCUUCUGAUAAAUGGAUGCUUCUUGAAGUGUCAGCUUUCCCAUGACACGCCCUGUAGAGAUUUGUAAUGAGUGAAGCUGAAAACACGAACCCAUGUUUUCCCUGCUGACAUUUUAAUAUUUCACUGGUGCAUCAGCAGAACAGAUGAGGUGAUGUCUGAUGCCUGCGCACCAAGGUCGAUGAGCCUUGGGUCGAUACUGCACAGAGGCAGCCUGCUCGGGGCACGCGGCCACUGGCCCAGGUAAACGUCUCUCUGUUACACAGGCAGGAGCUCUUUCCACUGCGUGUGGCGGAGAUGCUUGUGCACACUAGGACUACUGAUGAGUAAA
This is a long non-coding RNA of Dromaius novaehollandiae (emu), 1161 nucleotides long. RefSeq lists it as uncharacterized. The record is from RefSeq and is a predicted model, not a curated record. Lineage: Eukaryota; Metazoa; Chordata; Aves; Casuariiformes; Dromaiidae. The transcript is spliced from 5 exons.